RNAcentral lists this ribosomal RNA (510 nucleotides) under uncultured Caryophanales bacterium. RNAcentral describes it as "uncultured Bacillales bacterium partial 16S ribosomal RNA". Lineage: Bacteria; Bacillati; Bacillota; Bacilli; Caryophanales. The record is from RNAcentral.
CACGUAGUUAGCCGGGGGCUUUCUUCUCGGAUACCGUCACUCCUGGAGCAGUCACUCUCCAGGCCGUUCUUCUCCGGCAACAGAGCUUUACGAUCCGAAGACCUUCUUCACUCACGCGGCGUUGCUCCGUCAGGCUUUCGCCCAUUGCGGAAGAUUCCCUACUGCUGCCUCCCGUAGGAGUCUGGGCCGUGUCUCAGUCCCAGUGUGGCCGACCACCCUCUCAGGUCGGCUACGCAUCGUCGCCUAGGUGGGCCGUUACCCCGCCUACUAGCUAAUGCGCCGCAGGCCCAUCCGAAAGUGGCAGAAAGCUCCGCCUUUCCAGAAAGCAAGAUGCCUCGCUUUCUCCUAUCCGGUAUUAGCUGACGUUUCCGCCUAGUUACUCCCGGUCUUUCGGGCAGGUUGCCUACGUGUUACUCCACCCGUCCGCCGCUCGGCCCCGAAGGGCCCCGCGUCGACUUGCAUGUAUUAGGCACGCCGCCAGCCGUUCGUCCGUCGACGUCCGAGGACUAC